This 430-nucleotide ribosomal RNA is filed under the name uncultured bacterium. RNAcentral's name for it is "bacterial SSU rRNA". It matches the Rfam family "Bacterial small subunit ribosomal RNA", at positions 1 to 429 of the family's 1533-position model. The record is from RNAcentral.
UAGAGUUUGAUCCUGGCUCAGGAUGAACGCUAGCGGCAGGCUUAAUACAUGCAAGUCGUGGGGCAGCAGGUCCGUAGCAAUACGGAUGCUGGCGACCGGCAAACGGGUGCGUAACACGUACGCAACCUUCCUUCAGGCGGGGAAUAGCCCGGGGAAACCCGGAUUAAUACCCCAUAAAAUCUUGGGAUGGCAUCAUCCUAUUAUUAAAGCUUCGGCACCUGAUGAUGGGCGUGCGGCUGAUUAGGUAGUUGGCGGGGUAACGGCCCACCAAGCCAGCGAUCAGUAGCUGAUGUGAGAGCAUGAUCAGCCACACGGGCACUGAGACACGGGCCCGACUCCUACGGGAGGCAGCAGUAAGGAAUAUUGGUCAAUGGACGAAAGUCUGAACCAGCCAUGCCGCGUGGAGGAUGAAGGUCCUCUGGAUUGUAAA